Molecule: ribosomal RNA, 492 nt
Filed under: uncultured bacterium
Lineage: Bacteria
Description: partial 16S ribosomal RNA
Rfam family: Bacterial small subunit ribosomal RNA
Source: RNAcentral
AGUGAACGCUGGCGGUAGGCCUAACACAUGCAAGUCGAACGGCAGCACAGUAACAGCUUGCUCUUACGGGUGGCGAGUGGCGGACGGGUGAGGAAUACAUCGGAAUCUACUUUUUCGUGGGGGAUAACGUAGGGAAACUUACGCUAAUACCGCAUACGACCUACGGGUGAAAGCAGGGGAUCUUCGGACCUUGCGCGAUUGAAUGAGCCGAUGUCGGAUUAGCUAGUUGGCGGGGUAAAGGCCCACCAAGGCGACGAUCCGUAGCUGGUCUGAGAGGAUGAUCAGCCACACUGGAACUGAGACACGGUCCAGACUCCUACGGGAGGUAGCAGUGGGGAAUAUUGGACAAUGGGCGCAAGCCUGAUCCAGCCAUACCGCGUGGGUGAAGAAGGCCUUCGGGUUGUAAAGCCCUUUUGUUGGGAAAGAAAAGCAGCAGGUUAAUACCCCGCUGUUCUGACGGUACCCAAAGAAUAAGCACCGGCUAACUUCGUG